This is a long non-coding RNA of Gorilla gorilla gorilla (western lowland gorilla), 5899 nucleotides long. RefSeq lists it as uncharacterized. The transcript is spliced from 3 exons. NCBI's taxonomy places the organism in Eukaryota, Metazoa, Chordata, Mammalia, Primates, Hominidae. The record is from RefSeq and is a predicted model, not a curated record.
UUGCUUCUAACAUGGAGCUAACUUCUGCAAUGAUGUGGCCACCACUGGAACAGGAAGCUUGCUGUCAGAAUCUGGAGAAAUUCAUGGGAAGUUUAAUGUUGCCAGUGAGAGAAACACUCUGUGAGCUGUUCUUAGGGUCUGCUGGUGAGAUGGCUCAGGAAGGGCAAACACUGGAGGCAUGAGAAUACCAUCGAAGGGGCGGACUGCAGUGCCAGGCAUUGUGUAGGCCACAGCCACCAGGGCCUCCAUGUUUCUGACCAAAUGCUUCAGUGCCCUUUAGUGAGUGUGUCGCAGACAUGGCAUUUUUGUGUGCGAUCCAGGGUUCAUACCAUCGUGAUUCUUAGCCUUCAUAUUCAUCACACACUGGAAGGGACGCUGCGUGCCAGGCGUUCCGGCCGGCCAUCUGCGGGGGAAGGAGGAGCAUGGCCUGGAGAUGGGGAGCUUCUGGGCAGCAUGGCGCUGAAGCGCUGCUAGCUAAAAAUUACUAAACAACUCAGGUUCAGCCAACUCUAAUUUGUGUUUUAUUUUCACUAAACUUUUUGCUUACUUUAGUGUAGGCAUCCUUGGGGACCCAGCGAGACGGUUGGUUAGAGGCGCUCACCAUGAUGCCAGGACAGAUGAGAGGAGUCCUAGGAGUACUGGGGCCUGGUCAGUCUCCUGAGGCUGAGACUGUUCGUCCACUCCACAGCCGGCCUUCCUCCUUCUUUGUUAACAGAAGUGAACCCUCACAGGGAAGGCAGCACGCCUGGCACCAAGGCAUAAGCUAUGAUUGCUCUAUCCUGGCAACUUGGUUUCUCUUUGCCAGCCAUGGCUGGGCAUUGACCCAGUCCUGCCACUGAGCUCUAGGAGAAGUUGGCUCGGAGAAGGAUUUUCCUCGGCGACCCAUAGCUGCAUGAGAAGCCCUUUGACUCCUCCUGUCUGCCCACGCUGAGUGCUCCAUGACAUGUUCGGCUCUGUGUCACAUUCAUCUACCCACUGCAUUUUCCCCUGAUUAGCUUCCCUCAUGGCGUCAAGAUGGCCACCAGUCACAACUGGGCAACAAGUUUCCUUGCUCAUAUUAAGAAAAAGUAUUGCUUUCUCUUUCCCUGAAGGACCCCCUCAAAACUUUCCCAUGCAUUCACUGGUCCAGGUGGAAAUAUAGGAAGAAUAUUACCAAAACUGAGUUAGAUUAUAUAGGGGAGAAAGGAUGUUCAAAAGUCAAACACAUUAUCAGUUCAACACAAAACUGCCUAAGAUUGGCUGGGCGUGGUGGCUCACCCCUGUAAUCCCAGCACUUUGGGAGGCCGAGGCGGGUGGAUCACGAGGUCAAGAGAUCGAGACCAUCCUGGCUAACCCCAUGAAACCCUGUCUCUACUAAAAAUACAAAAAAUCUGCCAGGGGUGGUGACGGGUGCCUGUAGUCCCAGCUACUUGGGAGGCUGAGGCAGGAGAAUGGCGUUAACCUGGGAGGCAGAGCUUGCAGUGAGCCGAGAUCGCGCCACUGUACUCCAGCCUGGGCGACAGAGUGAGACUCAGUCUCAAAAAAAAAAUACAGCUGCCUAAGAUUUUGGAAGGGCACAGCUUGCAGAAGGAAGGGACUGGGGAGAUACUUUUUCUUUCUCUUCUAAUCAGAAAAAGAAUCUAGAGAGCAAGAGAUGGGAAUUCCUUGCUGACCUGUUUGCUUUUAGGAGAGUGUAAGCCUCAGAAUGAGAGUUUUCUAGAAGAAACAUUGACAAAAUCAGUCAGUCUUCUCCAUGGAUUUUGGAGAUAUAAAACAUUUCUUUACAUGUUUGGAAGUUAUGCAUUUUAUGUCUUUUUAUUUUUAGUGGUCACUUGUACAAACAGUCUUCAAUGUAUAUUUUUCCAGCAAAGGAAAGGAAACAAUUUUAGAUUUUUUAAGAAAAAUAUCUAUUGAUGAUUUUAAGUUAAAAAUAUGCUGGUAACCACUACACAGAGCCACUGAGUGCCUUGCAAAGCCACAUUCUUGAGGCUCUCUUGUGCCACCCAAUGAUCUAGCAGCCAAAGGGAUAACAGCCAUCACUGCAGGGGCCCUUCCCAGUGCUAAGAUGCUGUCCAUUCUGUUGGUCCACACUUGAGUUAUGCCAAGUUUAAUAUAUUUGAAUUAUCACUCCCACACCUUGGUGCAUUUUUGUUGUUUCUGCUGCUAAUGAAGAUGGUGGUUAUCUUAAAAUGUUGUUGUUGUUGUACAGAAAUAUAGUUGAUUUUUUUGUGUAGCAAUCUCAGAGCCAGGAAUCUGGCUAGUAUUCACUUAUAUUCUUUUGGCUUUUCCAUGAAACUAAUGUAUCAUCUACGUAUGAUGACAGUUUUGUUUCCUCCACUCCCAUUGUAAAUAGUGUGAUAAAAUGUAUGAUUGCUAACAAAUAUUGAUUCCUCCCCACCCAGUGGAACAUGAGUGGGCUGGCAUUGGCCAUGUCCAAGGAGGUGUUACCUCCACUUGCAUUCCUGGGCUGAGCUUCUCGAGAUCAUCAGAGAACCACAGGUCCCCACUGGUGCUACCUCCUUCAGCCUGUGUCCCAGAACCAGGAGACACAUGGAGUAGAAACCCUAGGCCCAACUUUCAGCCUGCAUCAAACCCAGAUGUGCUCAGCUCUACAGAUUGGCUUAAAGAUUUUUAUACUCAACCUGGGAUGUUUCUUGUUGAGAGUGGGUAAGGGGGAUGUAAACAUGUGGUCUCUCUGCCCUUUUGGUGCCCAGAACCAGAUUCAUAAUCGACAUACAGCCACAGACAAGGGUUGAGCAUAACUAGGGCUUAGAAAGAACAGACCUGAAUUGAUAUAUGAUGGUUUUAGACUUGUUCAUGCAUAAAAUAAAACUUAGAGAUAAAGGAAAUGUAUGGAUGAAAGUGUGACAAGUGAGAGAGAGUGAGCAGCUGCCUCUCAAGUCUGGCAUUGCUGCUAAGCCCGGAACAGAACCAGAGUGAGAAUGAGAGAAAACAAGGCAAAGAGAAUUGUGUUCUAGGUGAAAGGGAAAAGCAUUCAGCAGCCUAAGAAUAGAUGUAUCUGUCCCAUCAGAGCAUGAAGCAUCUCAGAGAAACGGAAUAACUAUCAGUGAAACCAUCCAAGCUGUUGCCAAAAAGCCAGAUGUUCUUUAUGGAAAUAUUUACCUACCAUAAUUGGGCCUUUUGGAUACAUUAAUGCUAUUUGUAUGGAAGAAAUAAUAUCUAAAUGUAGUGAAUAAAUGUCACACCACACCCUUCUUUGCAGAAAUACUUUUGUGAUUUAGGAACGGGGCUUUAAAAGGACAUUAUAAGCAUCUCUCAAUUUUUAAAAGCACAGAUGUAUCUUAUUAUGGUUUUCAAACUUAAGCUUUGAUUUUGCCAUUGCUUGAGAGCUGGGAAUUUUCAUAAGAAAAUUAGUGACUAAUACCAAAAAAUCUUCUUCAGCUCUACAGAAUGAAGUUAUAAAGGAGUCAGAGUGGACAUACAUAUUCAAUGUUGUGCUUUAAAGUCAAAAGGACAAAUUUACUGAAAACUUUAGUUUGACAGGACAUACAUAGACACUGAGAGCUCGAUGUGCUGGUCAGAUGAUUAUUGAAUCUACUUAGUUCGUUUUUCAGAUGAUGAACAGAGACCCUAGAGGGAUUAGGUGAUUUAUGUAAAAUUAUGUAGUCAGUUCGUGUAAACAUUUAUUACUAGAAAUCAAGAUCUUCUGUUUACAGAUAACCUUAUAUUAAUACACCUUUAUAUUAAUUUAUUUUUUUACAGUCUUAUCUAUUAUCCCAGCAUUGAUUUAUCUGAUUCUAGGAAUGCUGAACAUUAAUUUUAAAAUAAUUCUGUAUGUAAGAGAGUCCUGAGACUCAUUGUCAAUGUUUUCCUUUAUUUGAAGCAUUGAAAGUGCUGUUUUUCCUACCUGAAGUUCUCUUGCCCUUGGGUUCUGUGAAGCCACAUGUUCUUACUUCUUGAUUUCCGGCCACUUCUUGUGUUUCAGUUGGUGCCUCUGCCUGAGCUACUCUAAAUCACAGGCACCACCCAGCCUUGUGUCCUCGAGUGGAUUAUCUUUCUGCUCCCCCAGUUUCUCCUCAGGGGAGCACUCACUGCCAUCCCCUAAUUACCAGCUCUCUGCACUUCCAGCCCCAGCACUGGCCGAGCCUCAGUCUCAGUGCGUCUGCGAGUGAUGCCAUUAUCCUUUAGGAUGACUCCUGUUCUCUGGCCUUGAUUAACACCACCACCGGCAAGCAAGAAACCCCUGCCUCAUCUCCAACUCUUCCCUCUCUCUUCAUACAACUAGCUGAUGUCUUUAGCUAUGUCAAUUCUGUCUCUUAAAUGUAUCUUAUCAUAUCUUCUUUUUAAAAAUCUAUACUACCAGCCUAGUUUAAUGAAUGUCUCAGCCUGAUGACAGAAACAUAAUCUUCAGCCAAUUCCUUUCCCUGUUCAUGUCCUUCAUUGUCAUCAGUGCUCUUUCUAAGAUGCAGGAUGAAAUAUGAUUUUCCUUGCUCGAAACCUUGGAAUGGCAUCCCAUUGCCUGAAGAUGGAAGAACAAACACCUUAUCAGGACUUUCAUUGCUCUCUAUGAGCAGACCACAACCUCUCAUUUCAAUUCAACCUCCAUUAUUUGCCUAUCCUACAACCUCCUUGUACUAGAACUAGAUACUUCCUUCCCUUCAUCCUUCAGGGAUUCAUGUAUUUUACAAUAAACAUUUACUAAGCCCCUAGGCUGGGCGCGGUGGCUCACUCCUGUAAUCCCAGCACUUUGGGAGGCCGAGGCAGGCAGAUCACAAGGUCAGGAGAUCGAGACCAUCCUGGCCAACAUGGAGAAACCUUGUCUCUACUAAAAAUACAAAAAUUAGCUGGGCAUGGUGGUGUGCACCUGUAGUCCCAGCUACUUGGGAGGCUGAGGCAGGAGAAUCGCUUGAACCCAGGAGGCGGAGGUUGCAGUGAGCCGAGGUCACCCCACUGCACGCCAGUCUGGAGAGAGAGUGAGACUCUGUCCCCCCCAAAAAAAAACAACAACAAAAACAAAAACAAAAAAUAGAAAAACAAAAUGAAACAUUUACUAAGCUCCUAACAUUUUCUAGAUAAUUUGGUAGAUACUAUCAGUUCGGAGCUUACUCUCUACUGAAUAUUCUUAAUUUUCUCUGAACAGGUAUUAAUGAAAGAAUCAUGAAAAAACAGAUUAAAACCUACAUGUAAUAUUGAACACAAGCAAGAAGACAGACAAUGAGGAUAAAGUAUGCUAAGUGUUAAGACAAGUUAAGCACAGGAUACUGUGGAUGAUUUCCCACCUGUGUAGGAAACCAGAUGCAGACUGAGAAUCAGGCAGCUGUUGACAGGUCAGUGUAGACUUUCAGGAAGAGAUGGUGACUGAUGACACUCAAAUGCAAGCGUGGAGGAACCAGUCCAGGGAGGGAUGGCAACUGUUGGAGAAACGGCCCAAGAAGAACUCUCUUCUUCCAUGUCUGGAAUAUUCCUGAUGGGAAGCUGGACAUUUAGGAUGAAGCAGCAGGACUGUGUUAAGAGCUAUUCCUCCCAAAAAGCCGUGUCUUCUUCAAUAAUGCUAGCAUUGUAGGUUAAACAUUUAUCAUGUUAAAAUCUGCCAUUCAUCAGGGAUCUGAAGCUGCUGGGAGAAAUGUUUCAAUAUAAAGGAGGGCCCUGAAGUGCACAGACUGUGCUUGAAAAAGUCAAGACAAGAAAGCAAGCAUGCUUUGAAUAUUUCCAAAAGAAGAUGGACAACCAAAGUCUCUAACUUUCAUAACAUUUGAAGACAUUCAAGAUAGAACAAUAACUGAAUACCUUAACUGAUGCAAAUAAUACAAAAUAUUUUUUUGCAUCACUGUGUGUAUAAAACCAGACAUUUAUUAAACACUGCAUCAAAAAUAAAAUAUGUAAAUCAUUUGCUGUUUCAGCUGACCUGAGGAGCCGGUUCAGUACCUCAUGCCCAAGGUGAUGCAAUUGUCUAAUUAAA